Molecule: long non-coding RNA, 733 nt
Organism: Monomorium pharaonis (pharaoh ant)
Lineage: Eukaryota; Metazoa; Arthropoda; Insecta; Hymenoptera; Formicidae
Exons: 2
Source: RefSeq, a predicted model, not a curated record
ACAUAAAUACCGACGAAGUCAUCGGCGAGAUAGUAUCAAAGACUGCCAAAGCGAAAUAUUUUGCGUUUAUCAAUUGAUGAGCCUCGUGGAUAAGAGAAGGACACUGUAAUUACCGAUUAUUCAGACUAUACUAAAAAUAAAUAUGUGUAUUCAAAAAAGACAACUGAUAAUUGAUGAUCUUUCUAAUAAUCUUUACACAGAAGAUAAUGAUAAAACAAAUAGAGGAGAAAAACAAGUUGGGAUCGAAUGGACAUGACAAGAAUUACGUAAAGUAGAAUUAAGUUUUUAUUUAAAUAGAGGUUGCUAAUUCAAAGAAAAAAAUUAUCUAUUCUGUUAUAUUUGUAAUUUAAAAAAAUAUAAAAAUAUGUGAAACAUGAACAGAAAAGACAAUUUUUUAGAUUCCUAAGGAGAUUUGCAAGAGAAUACACUUCAAUAUUUAAUUCUAUAAAUAAUCGAUAUUCUAACAAACAAUUCAUUUUUUUUUGUCAUUGCACUGUGACAUUUGUAAAUUUUAUUACAAUUUGCAGAUCUUAUAAACUGAAUAUAUUCAAUUGCACUAAAUUAGCUUUAAUAAUUAAUAGUAAGAACUUGACUAAAUUAGUCACUUAUUGACUUUUCGAUGCAUCUUUUUUAACAUGAUACUCAAAUUAUUUGAAUGACAUGGUUUAUUUUUCAACAAUUCAAAAAUUGAAGACGUGAUGAAGCAAUCUAUAAGUUCCUUGUCACGAUUGUA